GGAGAGAUGUCCGAGAGGCCGAAGGAGCUCGCCUGCUAAGCGAGUAUGGGGGCUUAAACCUCCAUCCAGGGUUCAAAUCCCUGUCUCUCCGCCA
RNAcentral lists this transfer RNA (94 nucleotides) under Desulfovibrio sp. RNAcentral describes it as "tRNA-Ser". It matches the Rfam family "tRNA". From Rfam's summary of the family: Transfer RNA (tRNA) molecules are approximately 80 nucleotides in length. Their secondary structure includes four short double-helical elements and three loops (D, anti-codon, and T loops). The record is from RNAcentral. RNAcentral also lists the same sequence under 1 other name. Lineage: Bacteria; Pseudomonadati; Thermodesulfobacteriota; Desulfovibrionia; Desulfovibrionales; Desulfovibrionaceae.